UGGGGUGAAAUUAUGAUAAGAAAAUCCAGUCUAUUAGACUGAACAGUUUCUUGACAGGAAGUUGGCCAAGGGACAGGGGUGGAAGCCCUGUGGCUCAGGGCACCCCGAACUAGGCUGGACAAAAGACCCUACAAACAUACAGAAUGGAACAGUCCUGCACUGGGAGUGGCACCAAACAGCCUAAUGUCUUCACGUCUAGGAUUCUCAGACCGCCCCAGGAGUGCUCCUCAGGCAAGGGGUUCU
Molecule: long non-coding RNA, 243 nt
Filed under: Chrysemys picta bellii (western painted turtle)
Lineage: Eukaryota; Metazoa; Chordata; Testudines; Emydidae
Description: lncRNA (ENSCPBG00000028126.1)
Source: RNAcentral